This 1345-nucleotide ribosomal RNA is filed under the name uncultured bacterium. RNAcentral's name for it is "bacterial SSU rRNA". It matches the Rfam family "Bacterial small subunit ribosomal RNA", at positions 28 to 1381 of the family's 1533-position model. The record is from RNAcentral.
GAUGAACGCUAGCGGGAGGCCUAACACAUGCAAGCCGAGCGGUAUUUGUUCUUCGGAACAGAGAGAGCGGCGUACGGGUGCGGAACACGUGUGCAACCUACCUUUAUCAGGGGGAUAGCCUUUCGAAAGGAAGAUUAAUACCCCAUAAUAUAUUGACUGGCAUCAGUUGGUAUUGAAAACUCCGGUGGAUAGAGAUGGGCACGCGCAAGAUUAGAUAGUUGGUAGGGUAACGGCCUACCAAGUCAGUGAUCUUUAGGGGGCCUGAGAGGGUGAUCCCCCACACUGGUACUGAGACACGGACCAGACUCCUACGGGAGGCAGCAGUGAGGAAUAUUGGACAAUGGGUGAGAGCCUGAUCCAGCCAUCCCGCGUGAAGGACGACGGUUCUAUGGAUUGUAAACUUCUUUUAUACUGGGAUAAACCUACCCUCGUGAGGGUAGCUGAAGGUACAGUAUGAAUAAGCACCGGCUAACUCCGCGCCAGCAGCCGCGGUAAUACGGAGGGUGCAAGCGUUAUCCGGAUUUAUUGGGUUUAAAGGGUCCGUAGGCGGAUCUGUAAGUCAGUGGUGAGAUCUCAUAGCUUAACUAUGAAACUGCCAUUGAUACUGCAGGUCUUGAGUAAAGUAGAAGUGGCCGGAAUAAGUAGUGUAGCGGUGAAAUGCAUAGAUAUUACUUAUAACACCAAUUGCGAAGGCAGGUCACUAUGUUUUAACUGACGCUGAUGGACGAAAGCGUGGGGAGCGAACAGGAUUAGAUACCCUGGUAGUCCACGCCGUAAACGAUGCUAACUCGUUUUUGGGUCUUCGGAUUCAGAGACUAAGCGAAAGUGAUAAGUUAGCCACCUGGGGAGUACGUUCGCAAGAAUGAAACUCAAAGGAAUUGACGGGGGCCCGCACAAGCGGUGGAUUAUGUGGUUUAAUUCGAUGAUACGCGAGGAACCUUACCAAGGCUUAAAUGGGAAUUGACAGGUUCAGAAAUAGACUUUUCUUCGGACAAUUUUCAAGGUGCUGCAUGGUUGUCGUCAGCUCGUGCCGUGAGGUGUUAGGUUAAGUCCUGCAACGAGCGCAACCCCUGUCACUAGUUGCCAUCAUUCAGUUGGGGACUCUAGUGAGACUGCCUACGCAAGUAGAGAGGAAGGUGGGGAUGACGUCAAAUCAUCACGGCCCUUACGCCUUGGGCCACACACGUAAUACAAUGGCCAGUACAGAGGGCAGCUACCAGGCGACUGGAUGCGAAUCUCGAAAGCUGGUCUCAGUUCGGAUUGGAGUCUGCAACUUGACUCUAUGAAGCUGGAAUCGCCAGUAAUCGCGCAUCAGCCAUGGCGCGGUGAAUACGUUCCCGGGCCU